Long non-coding RNA from Passer domesticus (house sparrow), 796 nucleotides. RefSeq lists it as uncharacterized. Lineage: Eukaryota; Metazoa; Chordata; Aves; Passeriformes; Passeridae. The record is from RefSeq and is a predicted model, not a curated record. The transcript is spliced from 3 exons.
GGACCUGCUCCUGUGUCUGCCCCUCUUCCUCUUGCAAUUUGUUUAGCUCAUCCAUUUAAAUGCUGACCUCAGCAGAACCGUUGUCCUCUGUGUCCAUGGAGACAUAGAGGAUGGAGCAUGUGGAGGCCCCUCUACAGAACAUCAGAAGCCUUUAGCCUGGUACAGUUAUGCAGCAAGAUUGGUGACAAAUUUCCAGCCACACUGAUAGUCCACUUUUAAAGGAUGCAUACUUCCUCCUAUUUAUCUUGGAUUUCAUGUGAGAAAGCCUCUGGAGGCACAGAUGACUGAAUGCUGCAAGCAAGGCUAACACUGCUUUUCCAGGAUUGGCAGACGUCAGAAACACUUGAAAUCUGGUCAGAAACUUCCAUCUCAUGACAUUUCUUCAAACCUGGGAGCUCUGCAUAACUUGUUCAACAUCUUCAAGCACAGCUUAGCUUUCAGACCCUGACCUUGUCUAGAAAAAGUCCAGUGACUCAAGCAAUCUCCCAGGAGGCAGGAAACCCACCUCCAGUUCCCUCCUCUGCCUCAGAGCUUGGACCACCUCAGAUGAUCCCGUCCCAGAGUACCCAGGAAGGCAGUGGGUACUUGAGAAUGCAGAUUUGGUGUGAACCACUCAAACUAGUCCCCAGGCUUUAGCAGGGCAGCUGAACAGGGAACAAUCACAGAAGGUUCUGCAGAGCCCUGGCACUUGUACGUCACCUCGUCAAACACAUUCUCCUAACUCUGAACUUAAUUUUACCACCCGUUUAUUAAUUACAGACUUCCUAAUCAAGCACCAGCAAACAAGGCAUUAAAU